GAGGUCUUAGUAAAUUAAUUAUAUAGCCCUGUCAGCACUAAGUUACAGGUCAUUCUGCCUGUAGACCUCA
Molecule: transfer RNA, 70 nt
Filed under: Pedioplanis laticeps
Lineage: Eukaryota; Metazoa; Chordata; Lepidosauria; Squamata; Lacertidae
Description: tRNA-Asp
Source: RNAcentral